Molecule: ribosomal RNA, 253 nt
Filed under: uncultured bacterium
Lineage: Bacteria
Description: partial 16S ribosomal RNA
Rfam family: Bacterial small subunit ribosomal RNA
Source: RNAcentral
UACGAGGACCCCGAGCGUUAUCCGGAAUUACUGGGCGUAAAGAGUGAGUAGCCGGUUAUAUUAGUCUGACGUUAAAUUCCGAGGCUUAACUUCGGAACCGCGUUGGAAACGGUAUGACUAGAGCGGGUAAGAGGUAAGCGGAACGUGCAGUGUAGGGGUGAAAUCCAUUGAUAUUGCACGGAACACCAAAAGCGAAGGCAGCUUACUGGUACUCUGCUGACGGUCAAUUACGAAAGCGUGGGGAUCAAAAAGG